AGAAUCAACGCUGGCGGCGUGCCUAACACAUGCAAGUCGCACGAGAAAGGGUAGGCAAUACCUGAGUACAGUGGCGCACGGGUGAGUAACACGUGAAUCAUCUACCUCCGAGUGGGGAAUAACUGAGAGAAAUCUUAGCUAAUACCGCAUAAUACCCACGGGUCAAAGCAGCAAUGCGCUUGGAGAGGAGUUCGCGGCAGAUUAGUUAGUUGGCGGGGUAAUGGCCCACCAAGACGAUGAUCUGUA
RNAcentral lists this ribosomal RNA (246 nucleotides) under uncultured bacterium. Its description in RNAcentral is "partial small subunit ribosomal RNA". It matches the Rfam family "Bacterial small subunit ribosomal RNA", at positions 26 to 285 of the family's 1533-position model. The record is from RNAcentral.